GAAUGCUUCAACUUCCCUUAACUCACAGCAUACUCGGAAAGGAGUACAUUCUGCAGGGAAGUUGAUGAGGUUCUCUGGAAGAACAAACUAGAAGGACCCCUAAUCACUUUAUUCUUUAGACUUUUAAGACAUGGAUAAUUAUUUUGCUGAAUACUGUUCAUUGAUUGACUAGUGUAUAUACGGAUUAGCACAGGCUAAGAAAGGAAAGGGGGUUUUAUAAUCUGUAGUAAAUUAGAGGCUGCAAUCUAUACUGCUGAGAAUUUCUGUAUGUUUAGAGGCUAUUCAUGACUGUUAAUAGGCUUUACUCUUUACACUUGUGAGUUUAUUAUUGUGCUGAACUCUGUCCAUUAUAAUACAAAAUGUGUGCAUCCUUAAUAUUG
This 380-nucleotide long non-coding RNA is filed under the name Bos taurus (domestic cattle). RNAcentral's name for it is "long non-coding RNA NONBTAT024253". Lineage: Eukaryota; Metazoa; Chordata; Mammalia; Artiodactyla; Bovidae. The record is from RNAcentral.